Molecule: ribosomal RNA, 465 nt
Filed under: uncultured bacterium
Lineage: Bacteria
Description: partial 16S ribosomal RNA
Rfam family: Bacterial small subunit ribosomal RNA
Source: RNAcentral
CCUACGGGAGGCAGCAGUGGGGAAUAUUGCGCAAUGGGCGAAAGCCUGACGCAGCGACGCCGCGUGAGGGAUGAAGGUCUUCGGAUCGUAAACCCCUGUCAGCAGGGAAGAACGGUCACUUUGCUAAUCAGUAGUGAACUGACGGUACCUGCACAGGAAGCACCGGCUAACUCCGUGUCAGCAGCCGCGGUAAUACGGAGGAUGCGAGCGUUAGCCGGAUUUAUUGGGUUGAAAGGGUGCGUAGGUUGUUUUGUAAGUCAGCGGUGAAAGUUUGUGGCUUAACCAUAAAAUUGCCGUUGAAACUGGAAGACUAGAGUAUGUGUGAGGUAGGCGGAAUGCGUGGUGUAGCGGUGAAAUGCAUAGAGAUCACGCAGAACACCGAUUGCGAAGGCAGCUUACUAAGCCAUAACUGACACUGAAGCACGAAAGCGUGGGGAGCAAACAGGAUUAGAUACCCCGGUAGUC